Molecule: ribosomal RNA, 453 nt
Filed under: uncultured Paraprevotella sp.
Lineage: Bacteria; Pseudomonadati; Bacteroidota; Bacteroidia; Bacteroidales; Prevotellaceae
Description: partial 16S ribosomal RNA
Rfam family: Bacterial small subunit ribosomal RNA
Source: RNAcentral
ACGGAAGGCAGCAGUGAGGAAUAUUGGUCAAUGGGCGCAAGCCUGAACUAGCCAAGUAGCGUGAGGGAUGACUGCCCUACGGGUUGCAAACCUCUUUUGUUUGGGAAUAAAGGAGCCUACGCGUAGGCUUUUGCAUGUACCUUUCGAAUAAGCAUCGGCUAAUUCCGUGCCAGCAGCCGCGGUAAUACGGAAGAUGCGAGCGUUAUCCGGAUUUAUUGGGUUUAAAGGGAGCGUAGGCGGCCGGUUAAGUCUGCGGUCAAAUGUCAGGGCCCAACCUUGGCAUGCCGUGGAUACUGUCCGGCUUGAGUGCACACAAGGAAGGUGGAAUUCGUCGUGUAGCGGUGAAAUGCUUAGAUAUGACGAAGAACUCCGAUUGCGAAGGCAGCCUUCUGGGGUGUUACUGACGCUGAGGCUCGAAAGUGCGGGAAUCAAACAGGAUUAGAUACCCUGGUA